RNAcentral lists this long non-coding RNA (664 nucleotides) under Bos indicus x Bos taurus (hybrid cattle). Its description in RNAcentral is "lncRNA (ENSBIXG00005025231.1)". The record is from RNAcentral. Lineage: Eukaryota; Metazoa; Chordata; Mammalia; Artiodactyla; Bovidae.
GCUGACGGACAGGGCCGGGGCGGGCCAAAGCCAGGUCGGAGGGGCGCGCGCGGUGGCGCGGAGAGGCGAGGACGCGAAUGCGCGUGCGCGAGCGGCGGGGCUCUUUCCCCGAGCCGUCGGAGGGAGCGGGAGCGCUUCUCCCGAGUUGGUGAUCGAUUGGUUGUGAUCCACCAUGCAGAAGUGAGCGAUGAAAGGCAACAGAGCUGAUGGGUCAUGAGGAUGUAAGUGCAUUUGAAGGCUCUCACACCCUCUACUCCAGGGUAAAUGAAGACCCAGUUCACGGGAUUCUCCCAGUGUGGAGACUGCAGUCAGGAAGCAAAAAAUGUGACAUAAGAGAAAUAAAAGGCCUGCUGCUAUCCCGGCCAAGGUAAGAAUGAAGCAUUCAGGGAAGUGCCCGGGAUUCUAUCCCAGUGCUCCUGUUGGGACUGGAUUCUAUCCCAGUGCUCCUGUUGGGACUGGGGAGCAGAAAGAAGCAUAGUGCAGGUGCCUCCCAAACCAAUAUGGAGCAGUUCAGUCCCCAUACACCAAGGAUGCUCAGGUGAGAACCAGAAGCAUCACAGCAGAUGUAGGGUGGACAUGCAGCCCAGGACCAUGUGGUGCUGGGGCUGCAGCCAGCUUGGAAAAGCUAAAUAAACAAUAGGGAAAUGGCUAGAUCUGGCUGGGA